CGAGAGAGAGCUUGCUUUCUCGAGCGAGUGGCGAACGGGUGAGUAACGCGUGAGGAACCUGCCUUUCAGUGGGGGACAACAGUUGGAAACGACUGCUAAUACCGCAUAAGCGCACGGUAUCGCAUGAUACAGUGUGAAAAACUCCGGUGGUAUGAGAUGGACCCGCGUCUGAUUAGUUAGUUGGUGGGGUAACGGCCUACCAAGGCGACGAUCGGUAGCCGACCUGAGAGGGUGAUCGGCCACAUUGGGACUGAGACACGGCCCAAACUCC
Molecule: ribosomal RNA, 271 nt
Filed under: uncultured Lachnospiraceae bacterium
Lineage: Bacteria; Bacillati; Bacillota; Clostridia; Lachnospirales; Lachnospiraceae
Description: partial 16S ribosomal RNA
Rfam family: Bacterial small subunit ribosomal RNA
Source: RNAcentral